UCCUGCCAGGGCUUUUAGCAUUUCCACUAUGAAGAAGCAUCAGGACCCCGGGAGGUCCUCCUUCAACUCUGGAAGCUAUGUCACCAGUGGCUGAGACCAGAGAAGUGCACGAAGGAGCAGAUCCUGGAGUUGCUAGUCCUGGAACAGUUCCUGACUGUCCUUCCCCAGGAGAUCCAGGUCUGGGUUAGACAACAGCAACCUGAGAGUGGAGAGGAAGCAGUGGCCCUGGUAGAAGACUUGCAGAAAGAACCUGGAAGACCAGGGCUGCAGGUCAUGGUGUAGAGCACACAGCCAGAACAAGAGGCACAAGUAAACUACACGUCAACUACAGCCCCAAAGAGCAUCUCCAGCCCUCCCACAGCAGUGGAGGUGAAGACUUGUGUAUCGUCUCACCACUAGAGGACAGACCGAAGUUGGAAUGAGGGGGGAGCAGAAGGCAGGACACUCAAGGAGCUCAUGAAGUGGCGGCAUGGCAGCCAGUUCCCUCAGGAUAGUUCCCACGCUGGGAGUGCACAGAGGGGUGUGGCUGGGCUGAUGAGAAUACAGAGGACCCUUGGGCACGGCUCCCAAAGCCCAUGAGACUCUCAGUGGACUUAAUCCAGACUUGCUGAUCCUAAUUGCUCCCCCCACAGAAGCACAGAGGCUCAGCACAGACACAACAGCUGACCCUAAGGACCAGUGAGUGUCUCUGAGGAGUGCAAAGAGGCUGUAAUUCAAGCUGCCACAGUAGCUCUGAUCAGCUCUCUUGGGUCACAUGUAAGUGGCUCCUUCCCUUUCCAUAAACUCUUAGGAGCCUGCAGAGAUUCUCCUUGGACCUGCCACUGAGCCAGUGGGUGGUUCUCAGCUGUGACUUGUCCCUGAUGGGAGGAAGAGAAGACCUUUUUUAGAGAUCUGGCAGAAAACAAAGGCUCGAGAGCCUCUUGCCUGGACAGCUGCUCUGUGAGUACAGUUGGAAGGAGGUCAGGUCUCCUUCUCUAGUCAGUGAUUAAGACCACAGCAAAUUGACCAAACUGGCUCCAGGGUGAAAAGACCAACUACCUCAAAAGCAAAGCAAAAGAUACAGCGAGACACCUCUGAGAACUUGGAAACAUGCAGGGUCUUCAAGUUCGUGGAAAACGCUUAUUCCUAAGAUGCUGUGCAUGAUUUCAAAAGUUUCUGUAUUGAGAUAAACUAAUAUUUUGAUUCCAUAAACUAAUAUUUUGAUUCCAUAUUUCUAUAAACCUUUUGAAGUCUCCCUAUGAAAAGAAGAAGGUUUAUCUGAAAUUAUAUCAACACGGGAUGGGUCAGAGCAGAGGUGAGCAAAGGGACCUGAGGGACCCAGAACAGCUCUGAGAUCUACAACACUGAGCAAAUGGAGCACAUGUCUAAAGGGCGGUGGCACCCACAGGAGAGGACCGUUCCAUCACAGAGGCAAAGAAAAUGUUGGGGCCUGUCCAGGAAGAGAGGGAGCCACACCAACAGAACGAUGUUCAAGUGCCAAGUGGAAGCAGCAAGUGGCA
Tupaia belangeri chinensis (Chinese tree shrew) is the source of this 1499-nucleotide long non-coding RNA. RefSeq lists it as uncharacterized. The transcript is spliced from 3 exons. The record is from RefSeq and is a predicted model, not a curated record. Lineage: Eukaryota; Metazoa; Chordata; Mammalia; Scandentia; Tupaiidae.